RNAcentral lists this small RNA (459 nucleotides) under Malus domestica (apple). RNAcentral's name for it is "sRNA MD14G0101600". Lineage: Eukaryota; Viridiplantae; Streptophyta; Magnoliopsida; Rosales; Rosaceae. The record is from RNAcentral.
AUGAAGAAAGACAACAGCCACUACCCACCCAUCUGCUCCUCCUCCGCUCCAACCUCCGUCGGAAUUCCUCGCUGUUUCCUCAAUUCCGAAGGGUUUUGAUUUUGGUAGAGUGGGUGAUUUUUGUGAUUUGGGGAAGUGGGUAAUGGUGGGUUUGUUGUUAGGGUGAGAUUUGUGAGCUGGGAUUUGGUAAUAUGAGUAGUUGGGGUGGUUUCGGUUGAUAGAGUGACAAAUUUUGAGAUUUCUACUCUGGUUUUGGCAGCGAGUUUGAUUUGUUUGUUAUUUAGCUUUCUUUGUACAAAGGCUGCGGUUAUGGUGGAUAUGAAAGUUCGUGUAAUAAACAAAAUUCAUGUGGAAGCCAGUCGGAGACUGCUUUCUUGGUGAAGAUAGUGAGAUUGUAGAAUGUUCAGAAUUAGAGCCUGUUCAUUGGUCGUACCAGUGCACAAGGCUCUCGCUUUACGC